Felis catus (domestic cat) is the source of this 2797-nucleotide long non-coding RNA. RefSeq lists it as uncharacterized. The transcript has 2 exons. The record is from RefSeq and is a predicted model, not a curated record. NCBI's taxonomy places the organism in Eukaryota, Metazoa, Chordata, Mammalia, Carnivora, Felidae.
AGGCUCCGGGCUCCGAGCUGGCAGCACGGAGCCUGACGUGGGGCUGGAACUCGUGAACCGCGAGACCGUGACCUGAGCCGAAGUCGGACGCUUAACCGACUGAGCCAGCCAGGUGGCCCCCCGCUCCCAACAGCUUUUCAGUAUAAGGUUUCAUCCUGAUGCCUCUCCCCACAUCUUCCCAAUCCACUGGGAGGUCCACAGGCUCAACAUCCAUAUGUACUCCCAAUCCAACUACCACUCCAUCUCUGUCAUGACUAACAAACAAUCUCUGGAUUUCUAAUGGAUUAUUACAACAGUCUUGUAAUUUAUUCUAUUUCCACCCUUGUCCGUUCUCAUGGCAACGAGAAUGGUACUUCCAAACUACAAGUUAGAUUAAGUCAGCCAUGUGUCAGCAUACAUUUGCUUCACAUCCCACUUAGAUAAAAUAUCUACUUAUUGCUUGGUGCCCCAUCUGGAACAUAAGCUCCACGACAAGAGAAUUUUGUUUCAUUCACUGCUAUCCUGGGAUCUAGAACAGUACCUGGCUCAUGGUAGAAAAGCAGCAAAUGUAGGUUGAGUAACUGAACGAAUGCAUUUGUGGGUGGGUAGGGGGUCAGCGUAAGGGCCAUUUUAACCAUGGAACUCAAAAGUAAAGGUGGCGUACUAACUUUGGUGGAGAGUUUGAAGACCAGAGAUUCUGAGCCUUGAAGGUCAACAAAGUUAAGGGAAAAUGUGAACCAGCUAGAAUCAUAUCUUCCUGACAGAAAGGUCAAGGAUUUGUGUUUAUAUAGUCCGGUGAUCAAAACCAAGGAAGAGACGUGAAGGCAUGGUUCAUGAAAUUAAUGUCUUUGCUAACACAUGUAAUUUCCUUAAAAGAAACAAUCUUUUCAUUAGUACCAAGAGUGGGAACGACAUGCUAUACCGAUGAGGAGAAAACUUACUAAGAGUCCUAAAUUCCGCCGGUGGGAUCCAAAGGAGCCAGGGAAGUCAAGGAAAGGAGGCUUGAUUCUGGACCUGAGCUCCUGGAAAUCACAUCUUGUAACAACCAUGGAAUAGUUGAAAAUCCCACCUGUUCAUCCAGGUUGGAAGUUUUAGACAUUCCUCUACUAUCAACCAGAGUGUGGUAGAGGGUGAGGUGGAAAAGGACACAGAGGGGAUGGGAGAAGAAGCCUCAAAAACGGACAAGACACGCGGCGGUCGCGAGACUCAAAGUUUGCGCACGGCCUCCACAUUCCCAGGGAUAAACAGGCUCUGCUCCGGGCCGAGGUUGGACUUGAGGUGGCAGAGGGACACUCGCAGGCCCCGGGAGGGUUCACGGAGCCAGCUGUGACACACCCCCUUUUCAGCCACCCAACUCUUCCAGGGAGGGGGCCUGGAAGGCGUGGGAGGUGUUGAGCAGAAGCUACGUGGAACCGGAGAUUUUUUUUUUGUCCGUUCUACACACUGUUGUACCCCAGUACCUAGAACAGGACCUGAAACGCAUGUUCACGCACACGUAAGAGAGGAGCGGACCGGUGGCCACAAGACUCUGUCAGAACCGGUGGCAGAACGGCCAGAGCUGCUGCUGCCGAAGCCAAGGGGGCGGAGGAGGGGCAGUCGAAGCCCGAGAAAGGCCGGGACUUGGUCGCAACCCAGGAACCCCCGGGGCACAGGCAUGCUGGUCAUUCCCUCGCGGAGGCACGCUAGAAAGUUACUGCCUCGGUCAAGUCCUCCCAGGCGGCAACUGGAUAGCUGCCUGGUGGCCUCGGGGGACCGUGCACCAUCUGCACUUUUCCAGCAGAGAAAAAGAGUGGGGCCUGGCAUUCUGGAAGUUGCUCAGGGGCCCAGUCUGAUCCAGUCUCGACACUCAGCACUUCCGCAGCUCCGAACCCACUGACCGAGAUGGCCGAUUCUCUGCACUAGCUCAAGUUCCAAGGAGAACCCCCUUCAAAGGAUUUUUGCUGUAUGGCUUUCAUUAGCGCAGUCCCAAGUUUGAGACUCUUGUGACCUAGAAACAUAAAGGGAUCAGCCAAUCAAUCACCUACUUCUCAUCUUCCUGCUGACCGGCUGGUGCUUGUUUAUUGUUUGCCAUCAAAUGUAACCUAUGGCUGAGCUUUCUCAGAAGCCAAGACCACCUCUAGUCGAAUCUGCCCUCUACAAACAAGAGAUGGCACCUUCUCUUUGAACUUGUGUCAAACUGGCUCUGGCCCACCAUUCGGGUGCCCUCGAGAGUAUCUUGGAGCUUUCAGGCAAUGGAAGAGGUGUUUCUUUGUUCGGGCUCUUGCUACAGUGCCUGGGUAUAAAGCCAGAGGAGGACUAAGGCAAGGGGAACAUUCCAUGUGUCUGAGUGGGGAGGUUCAAUGGUGUCCUUCCUCUUUGGACAGGAAGGAAGCAGAACACAAGCUAGCAGCCAGGUGAUACCCUGUGGGGCCCCCACAAAAGGUACACGUCCUACCUGGUGCCAUGGUGUUCAACCUGGUGACAAAGGACUGUUCUUUAUUUGGCGAUAAGAAGGUCACGCUGCCUUACAAUUAAAUGCUGCCAGCGCGAACAUGAAUGGGACUGAUUGCCAUAGUCCAUCAACCCUUGGCAAACUGGUUUGUUUGGUCUGGACAGCAAACAACAUUCCACACUACUGGAUUUUUUUCUCCCAGAUCCCCUGCGGCCCCAUCACCCCCCAAAACCUUUUUUCAAAAAUUACAAUCUGUUCUGCUGUCUCAAGUUACAUUCUGUAAAUAAUAAGCAACACUGAUGAAAUGCAAAAAGCUGAAAAUUUGUAAAGCAGAAAGAUCUGCAAUAUGUCCCACAUCUGUGUCACAUUAAACACGCACUCAACAGA